Molecule: ribosomal RNA, 253 nt
Filed under: uncultured bacterium
Lineage: Bacteria
Description: partial 16S ribosomal RNA
Rfam family: Bacterial small subunit ribosomal RNA
Source: RNAcentral
UUUCUUUGCUGGCGACCGGCGCACGGGUGAGUAACGCGUAUCCAACCUGCCCUUUACUCGGGGAUAGCCUUUCGAAAGAAAGAUUAAUACCCGAUAGCAUAAUGAUUCCGCAUGGUUUCAUUAUUAAAGGAUUCCGGUAAAGGAUGGGGAUGCGUUCCAUUAGGUUGUUGGUGAGGUAACGGCUCACCAAGCCUUCGAUGGAUAGGGGUUCUGAGAGGAAGGUCCCCCACAUUGGAACUGAGACACGGUCCAA